Molecule: ribosomal RNA, 486 nt
Filed under: Salmonella enterica subsp. enterica serovar Heidelberg
Lineage: Bacteria; Pseudomonadati; Pseudomonadota; Gammaproteobacteria; Enterobacterales; Enterobacteriaceae
Also listed under: 3 other names
Description: partial 23S ribosomal RNA
Rfam family: Bacterial large subunit ribosomal RNA
Source: RNAcentral
AAUCCAUAGGUUAAUGAGGCGAACCGGGGGAACUGAAACAUCUAAGUACCCCGAGGAAAAGAAAUCAACCGAGAUUCCCCCAGUAGCGGCGAGCGAACGGGGAGGAGCCCAGAGCCUGAAUCAGCAUGUGUGUUAGUGGAAGCGUCUGGAAAGGCGCGCGAUACAGGGUGACAGCCCCGUACACAAAAGCGCAUGUGCUGUGAGCUCGAUGAGUAGGGCGGGACACGUGGUAUCCUGUCUGAAUAUGGGGGGACCAUCCUCCAAGGCUAAAUACUCCUGACUGACCGAUAGUGAACCAGUACCGUGAGGGAAAGGCGAAAAGAACCCCGGCGAGGGGAGUGAAAAAGAACCUGAAACCGUGUACGUACAAGCAGUGGGAGCACCCUUUGGGGUGUGACUGCGUACCUUUUGUAUAAUGGGUCAGCGACUUAUAUUCUGUAGCAAGGUUAACCGUAUAGGGGAGCCGUAGGGAAACCGAGUCUUAAC